This 58-nucleotide transfer RNA is filed under the name Mesocestoides corti. RNAcentral describes it as "tRNA-Met". The record is from RNAcentral. Lineage: Eukaryota; Metazoa; Platyhelminthes; Cestoda; Cyclophyllidea; Mesocestoididae.
AGUAAGUUAAUAUAUUAAACUGGGGGGUUCAUGUCUCCUUUAUACAUUUUUGUGUCUA